GUAAAGUGCCGACGGGUGAUUAACGCGUGGGUAAUCUACCCUCGAAUCGGGGAUAACUCCGCGCAAGCGGGGCUAAUACCGGAUAAUUUCUCUUUUGUUUCGACUUUUGAGAUCAAAGAUGGCCUCCACAUGUAACCUAUUGUUUGGGGAUGAGCCCGCGUACCAUUAGCUAGUUGGGAGGGUAAUGGCCUACCAAGGCUACGAUGGUUAGCUGGUCUGAGAGGAUGAUCACCCGCACUGGACCUGACACACGGUCCAGACUCCUACGGGAGGCAGCAGUGAGGAAUUUUGCGCAAUGGGGGAAACCCUGACGCAACAACCCCGCGUGAGUGAUGAACGCUUUCGGGUCGAAAAGCUCUGUCAAGUGGGAAGAACGUAUAUAGGAAUAAUACUUUUAUGUAUUGACGGUACCACUGAAGGAAGCACCGGCUAACUCCGUGCCAGCAGCCGCGGUAAUACGGGGGGUGCUAGCGUUAUUCGGAUUUACUGGGCGUAAAGGGCGCGCAUGCGGUCUCUCAAGUCUCAUGUGAAAGCCCGGGGCUCAACCCCGGAAGUGCAUUUGAUACUAANAGACUUGAGUAUGGGAGAGGGAAGUGUAAUUCCUGGUGUAUCUGGUGAAAUGACGUAGAUAUCAGGAGGAACACCUGUGGCAAUGCGACUUCCUGGACUAUACUGACGCUGAGCGCGACGCGUGCGGAGCAACAGGAUUACAUACCUGGAAGUACCACUCAGUAACGGUGAUCACUAUGU
Molecule: ribosomal RNA, 750 nt
Filed under: uncultured Desulfobacteraceae bacterium
Lineage: Bacteria; Pseudomonadati; Thermodesulfobacteriota; Desulfobacteria; Desulfobacterales; Desulfobacteraceae
Description: bacterial SSU rRNA
Rfam family: Bacterial small subunit ribosomal RNA
Source: RNAcentral